Molecule: ribosomal RNA, 253 nt
Filed under: uncultured bacterium
Lineage: Bacteria
Description: partial 16S ribosomal RNA
Rfam family: Bacterial small subunit ribosomal RNA
Source: RNAcentral
UACGUAGGGUGCGAGCGUUAAUCGGAAUUACUGGGCGUAAAGCGUGCGCAGGCGGUUUUGUAAGCCAGAUGUGAAAUCUCCGGGCUUAACCUGGGAAUGGCAUUUGGGACUGCAAGGCUGGAGUUUGGCAGAGGAGACUGGAAUUCCUGGUGUAGCAGUGAAAUGCGCAGAUAUCAGGAGGAACACCGAUGGCGAAGGCAGGUCUCUGGGCAUUAACUGACGCUGAGGAGCGAAAGCAUGGGGAGCGAACAGG